UGGUCCUACGGGGGGCAGCAGUAAGGGAUAUUGGUCAAUGGGGGAAACCCUGAACCAGCAACGCCGCGUGAGGGAAGACGGUUUUCGGAUUGUAAACCUCUGUCCUCUGUGAAGAUGAUGACGGUAGCAGAGGAGGAAGCUCCGGCUAACUACGUGCCAGCAGCCGCGGUAAUACGUAGGGAGCGAGCGUUGUCCGGAUUUACUGGGUGUAAAGGGCGUGUAGGCGGGAGCGCAAGUCAGAUGUGAAAACUCAGGGCUCAACCCUGAGCCUGCAUU
Molecule: ribosomal RNA, 276 nt
Filed under: uncultured bacterium
Lineage: Bacteria
Description: partial 16S ribosomal RNA
Rfam family: Bacterial small subunit ribosomal RNA
Source: RNAcentral